Molecule: long non-coding RNA, 415 nt
Filed under: Helianthus annuus (common sunflower)
Lineage: Eukaryota; Viridiplantae; Streptophyta; Magnoliopsida; Asterales; Asteraceae
Description: hypothetical non coding rna
Source: RNAcentral
UUGGGUCGGUUCGGGUUCGGAUGAGAAGGAAUUUAAUGGAAGUUUUCUCCUUGAUCCAUACUAAACGGGUUAUUGGAAGUGAAUGAGAAAUAGUUGUGUUUAUUUGACUAGAAUGAAUUGGAAUGAAAUAAGAACAUUUGGUAAGAUAUCUUGUAAAUCCGAGAAUAUGUAUUGUGAUAGGAUGAAAACGUUAUGUGUACCACACUAAUAUAUUUUGUUGAAUGAUUGUAGGUAAAGCACCCGUAUGAUUGUCAUUGCGUCGCUCGGAUACGAACACACCUUGAUCACCCGUGAUGCGCUUCCGCAACUUUUGUAGUAACCUUAUUAGUUAAAGGCUUUUGUUAAAGUUAGUAGUGUUGAAGUUUUAAGUUUUAACUAGAUGUUUUUUAAAUGUUAAGAUCUUCCUUAUGUUUUU